UACAGAGACUGCAAGCGUUAUUCGGAUUCACUGGGCGUAAAGGGUGCGCAGGCGGCCAAGUGUGUCAGGUGUGAAAUCCCGAGGCUUAACCUCGGAACUGCGCCUGAAACUACUUGGCUAGAGUACUGGAGAGGGUAACGGAAUUCACGGUGUAGCAGUGAAAUGCGUAGAUAUCAGGAGGAACACCUGUGGCGAAAGCGGCUCACUGGACCAUAACUGACGCUGAUGCACGAAAGCUAGGGGAGCAAACAGG
RNAcentral lists this ribosomal RNA (253 nucleotides) under uncultured bacterium. Its description in RNAcentral is "partial 16S ribosomal RNA". It matches the Rfam family "Bacterial small subunit ribosomal RNA", at positions 524 to 776 of the family's 1533-position model. The record is from RNAcentral.